GUGUGUGUGUGUGUGUGUGUGUGUGUGUCUACCACACACCUCCAGGGGUCAGUGUUACUAAAUAAUCAGCAGUUAAUCUGCGCAGACCGGACACGUGGUGCAGUGGAAGCGCUUUGGCAUCUGUGCAUGUGCGUAAGAAAGAGGGUGAUUGAAAAAGAUCAGAUUCUUCUAUUGUCACUGCACAAAAUUUACUUGUGAUGAAGAAAACCUCGCUGAGACGACAUGAGGAACAAACCUUGAGAGGACCCAGGUCUCAAAAUGGAACGUGUCUAUUCUGUGUGCUGCCACUCAAGCUGUUUCAAAAAACUGAUAUUGAUACAGUUGGAAUUCAUUUGAUUUCAAUAACCCCACCUCUAACCCCAACAUUCGACACCCCCCCAUCAAAGAAAGAAGCGGUAAGAAAGGCUACAACGAAUAACCCCACCUCUAACCCCAACCUUCUACCCCCACCUCAGGUCAAAGAAAGAAGUCGUAAGAAAAGCUACAACCAAUAACCCCAACUCGGAUUUUCUCCCUAAUUUACUCUUGCCCAAUUCUCACCCACCAGUUAAUUCUCUCCUAUCAUAGUACACUUACCAACCUGAGAGGGAAAAGACUAUCACAUGCUUCCUCUGACUAACGUCAAGCCAGUCAACCGCAUCCUUUCAGACUGAUGCUAAUGCUGCAUCGUAACACACUCUGAGGAAGGCACUCUGUCCUCUUCCCCAUACAUGACCUCAUAGAUGCGCACUCUUGGCUAAUGUCACUGUGAUUGACAGGGAAGUCAGUUUGCUCCUGCCACCCAGAGAGCAUAGCAGCGGCAUCGUCGGAAUUCAAACUCGCUAUCUCCAAAGGUUUUCCAUUCACUUGAGAACCACCUCAAUCUUCUUAACCACUCCACCCCUCCAAAAAAAACAAAACAAACCCUAGCAAUACGCCAUUUUUACACCGCAAAGUUCCCUUUGUGGAUUAACAUAAAGCCUAUAAAGUAAUAAACACAGUAUCGCUAUUUAGAAACAUACAUAUGCAAUGUAUACAAUAACUCCCCCUUCGUCUUUCCUCGGCUUCUGUCAGCUUCUUACUCUGAGUCUGUAUUUCCCAAAUCUACAGCUCCACCAGCACCCCGUCUCCCCAGCAGAGCUAAAGAUAGAGGCGGGAGUGAAGAAUCCUGAUUACUCCACACUCUCCAGACAUUAUUAGGCAAUAUGUGCAAUUAAUUGAAUUGUGGGGCUGACGGUGCAUGGGGCACCAAAGGCAGCGUUUCUCAUUAGCCUCAGUGCAUUCCCUCCGUCACCUAACGAACAAUAACGGAGCUCUCAAACACAAAUGCCAUUAUGGAGAUACCGUGCAAGCACCUCGCACCAUAAUUGGCUGGAUUGCUAUCAUUAAAAAGGGGAGGGAUUUAGUCAGAAAGCAAUAAGCAGCAGUUAUAUAAAGAACGUAUGCGAUCCUGUUAUGCUCAGACUCAGGUGAGGGGAAAAGAAUAUGUCUACGAUGAAGCGAAUGAAAUGACUGCGACCGAGAUGCACAUUUCCAUUAGAUCUUCAGUCUACUUCAGAGCGAGAUCUUCUUGUCUAAUACUCUUGAGUGUUUUGCUUAGACGACAGUCUUUACUCUGACUUUGUUACGCCCUCGAACGUUGCAAUACCCAAUUACAACUUGACUUGAGCUGUUAACACGGGCAGGAAUUUAGCAGCUUGUCUCGUCUCGCACGUCCCCAUGAGAAGCGUCUACAACUGCUGCUCGAGUCUGUCUGAGUCACGUCCAGGGCCGCGCAAACAGCUGCUGUUAUUUACUUUAAUCUAGCUGGGAAAAAAAAACAAAAAAAAAAACGCCGAUGUGUCUGGAAUAUCAAAGAAUCAAUAAGACCAACAAGUGUCACAUGCUUCCUUAUUCUUAUUCGCAUUCUCAUUUUUGGCUCAAUGAAUCAUGAAGAUGUCUUUCACUAUGACACACGCAGCAUAAAAUAUUAUCCAUCCAUCCUAUCCAUUUUCUGUACCGCUUAUCCUACACAGGGUUGCGGGAAGCCUGGAGCCUAUCCCAGGGGACUUGGAGCACAAGGGGGGACGGGGGACACCCUGGACGGGGUAGGUGAAUAUUACUUUAAUUGUAAUUUGUAUACAGUAUACAAGUUUGAAAAGUCUUACAGAUAAUGAGCAUUUCCUAAAAGGGUCUCCUAAAGAUUUCCUAGAGUUUCAGUUCAGAUCACACACUUAUGACAAGGGACCAUGUUAUCCAACUUCUAUCGUGUUACAUAUGUGAACCCAGUUUUCCAUAAACUUUAAAAAGGUCAUCAUACUUGGUAGAGAAAGUAUUCAAUGUGAAUAUACUCAGCUUAUACCGACAAUAACGGAUCUUUGUAGAUGCUGUGUACAUUUCUGCUGAAAACCUGAAAUAUUUAAGAGAGGAGUGAGAAUUAGUUGGGGAAGGUACUAUGCUGAGGGCCUAGGGCCUUAUGGCAAUGUCUUAAGGCUAGCAUCGCAUGUCUCAGACAUCCUCAUUCACCUGACUGACAGCCUGUGCUAACUUUCCUCACUGCCCCCGAUUUUCUCCAGCGCAACGAGAGCCUCGUUAAGUCACCGCUGUUUUUCGCUCGUCUGUCGCUCUGGGAAUUCGGCUAUCCGGGCUUCCUGUAGGCUUCCUAUUGCACUCUCUUGCCUAAAAAUACAGGAGUUCAACUGGAGUUCAUGUUAAAGUUACUCUUUAAAAUCUAGGGUUUACAUUCACUUG
Long non-coding RNA from Ictalurus punctatus (channel catfish), 2709 nucleotides. NCBI's taxonomy places the organism in Eukaryota, Metazoa, Chordata, Actinopteri, Siluriformes, Ictaluridae. The record is from Ensembl.